UGCUUUGCGCAGUGGCAGUAUCGUAACCAAUGAGAUUUAACCGAGGUGUGAUUAUUGCUAGUUGAAAACUUUUCCCAAUACCCCGCCUGGACGACUUGAAAUAUAGUCGGCCAUGGCAAUUUUUGUUAGCCCAAUUAUGGG
This 141-nucleotide small nuclear RNA is filed under the name Portunus trituberculatus (swimming crab). Its description in RNAcentral is "U4 spliceosomal RNA". It matches the Rfam family "U4 spliceosomal RNA". Rfam says of the family: U4 small nuclear RNA (U4 snRNA) is a component of the major U2-dependent spliceosome. The structure of U4 snRNA from yeast and human has been reported. U4 snRNA presents a k-turn RNA motif in the 5p-SL related to recognition of Snu13 protein. Lineage: Eukaryota; Metazoa; Arthropoda; Malacostraca; Decapoda; Portunidae. The record is from Rfam by way of RNAcentral.